This 253-nucleotide ribosomal RNA is filed under the name uncultured bacterium. RNAcentral's name for it is "partial 16S ribosomal RNA". It matches the Rfam family "Bacterial small subunit ribosomal RNA", at positions 524 to 776 of the family's 1533-position model. The record is from RNAcentral.
UACGGAGGGUGCAAGCGUUACUCGGAAUUAUUGGGCGUAAAGCGCGUGUAGGCGGUUUACUAAGUCUGAUGUGAAAGCCCUGGACUUAAUUCAGGAAGUGCAUUGGAUACUGGUAGACUAGAGUUUGGGAGAGGAGAACGGAAUUCCUGGUGUAGAGGUGAAAUUCGUAGAUAUCAGGAGGAACAACAAAGGCGAAGGCAGUUCUCUGGACCAUAACUGACGCUGAGACGCGAAAGCGUGGGUAGCAAACAGG